UGUGUGUGUGUGUGUACCUCGAAGCAAUGACCUAAUUACAUACUCCGGCUGUGUUUAUUGCUCAUUACACAGUUGACUCUUAACGAGUCACUUUGUACACAUUAAUCACAAUAUUACUGAAAUAAACACACACACACACAGAGGGAGAGAUUUUUUCAGUUUUUCAUUACCAUCAUUCAUCAGCCAUUCCUGUAUUUAAUAUGAAUUCAGUUCUGUUUUACGUGUGUUAGCGUGUGUUAGUAUGUAAACGUGUAUUAGAGUGUAUUGGUGUGUGUUAGUAUGUAAAAGUGUAUGUUAGUGUGUAUUAGAGUGCAUUAGUGUGUUUUAGUAUGUAAAAGUGUGUUAGUGUGUAUUAGAGUGUAUUGGUCUGCAUUAGUGUGUGUUAGUGUGUAUUAGAGUGUAUUGGUCUGCAUUAGUGUGUGUUAGUGUGUAUUAGAGUGUAUUGGUCUGCGUUAGUGUGUAUUAGAGUGUAUUGGUCUGCAUUAGUGUGUGUUAGUGUGUUUUAGUAUGUAAAAGUGUGUUAGUGUGUAUUAGAGUGUAUUGAUCUGCAUUAGUGUGUGCUAGUGUGUAUUAGAGUGUAUUGGUCUGCAUUAGUGUGUGUUAGUGUGUAUUAGAGUGUAUUGGUCUGCAUUAGUGUGUGUUAGUGUGUGUUAGUGUGUAUUAGAGUGUAUUGGUCUGCAUUAGUGUGUGUUAGUGUGUAUUAGUGUAUUGAGUGCAUUAGUGUGUGUUAGUGUGUUUUAGUAUGUAAAAGUGUGUUAGUGUGUAUUAGAGUGUAUUGAUCUGCAUUAGUGUGUACUAGUGUGUAUUAGAGUGUAUUGGUCUGCAUUAGUGUGUGCAUUAGUGUGUGUUAGUGUGUAUUAGAGUGUAUUGGUCUGCAUUAGUGUGUUAGUGUAUUAGUGUGUAUUUCAUUGUGCUAGUGUGUACUAGUGUGUAUUAGAGUGUAUUGGUGUGCAUUAGUGUGUGUUAGUGUGUAUUAGAGUGUAUUGGUGUGUGUUAGUAUGUAAAAGUGUAUGUUAGUGUGUAUUAGAGUGCAUUAGUGUGUUUUAGUAUGUAAAAGUGUGUUAGUGUGUAUUAGAGUGUAUUGGUCUGCAUUAGUGUGUGUUAGUGUGUAUUAGAGUGUAUUGGUCUGCAUUAGUGUGUGUUAGUGUGUUUUAGUAUGUAAAAGUGUGUUAGUGUGUAUUAGAGUGUAUUGGUCUGCAUUAGUGUGUGUUAGUGUGUAUUAGAGUGUAUUGAUCUGCAUUAGUGUGUGUUAGUGUGUAUUAGAGUGUAUUGGUCUGCAUUAGUGUGUGUUAGUGUGUAUUAGAGUGUAUUGGUCUGCAUUAGUGUGUGCAUUAGUGUGUGCAUUAGUGUGUGCUAGUGUGUAUUAGAGUGUAUUGGUCUGCAUUAGUGUGUGUUAGUGUGCAUUAGUGUAUUGGUCUGCAUUAGUGUGUGUUAGUGUGUUUUAGUAUGUAAAAGUGCAUUAGUGUGUAUUAGAGUGUAUUGGUCUGCAUUAGUGUGUGUUAGUGUGUAUUAGAGUGUAUUGGUCUGCAUUAGUGUGUUAGUGUAUUAGUGUGUAUUUGAUUGUGCUAGUGUGUACUAGUGUGUAUUAGAGUGUAUUGGUCUGCAUUAGUUUGUACUAGUGUGUAUUAGAGUGUAUUGUCUGCAUUAGUGUGUGCAUUAGUGUGUAUUAGUGUGUAUUAGAGUGUAUUGGUCUGCAUUCGUGUGUGCUAGUGUGUACUAGUGUGUAUUAGAGUGUAUUGGUGUGCAUUAGUGUGUGUUAGUGUGUAUUAGUGUGUAUUAGAGUGU
Molecule: long non-coding RNA, 1785 nt
Organism: Ictalurus punctatus (channel catfish)
Lineage: Eukaryota; Metazoa; Chordata; Actinopteri; Siluriformes; Ictaluridae
Source: Ensembl